AUUGAACGCUGGCGUCAGGCCUAACACAUGCAAGUCGAACGAGUGGCGGACGGGUGAGUAAUGUCUGGGAAACUGCCUGAUGGAGGGGGAUAACUACUGGAAACGGUAGCUAAUACCGCAUACCAUCGGAUGUGCCCAGAUGGGAUUAGCUAGUAGGUGGGGUAAAGGCUCACCUAGGCGACGAUCCCUAGCUGGUCUGAGAGGAUGACCAGCGACACUGGAACUGAGACACGGUCGAAGAUCCUACGGGAGGCGACAGUGGGGAAUAUUGCACAGUGGGCGCAAGCCUGAUGCAGCCAUGCCGCGUGUAUGGAGAGGGCCUUCAGGUUGUAAAGUACUUUCAGCGGGGAGGCGUUACCCGCAGAAGAAGCACCGGCUGACUCCGUGCCAGCAGCCGCGGUAAUAC
This 406-nucleotide ribosomal RNA is filed under the name uncultured bacterium. RNAcentral's name for it is "partial 16S ribosomal RNA". It matches the Rfam family "Bacterial small subunit ribosomal RNA", at positions 30 to 526 of the family's 1533-position model. The record is from RNAcentral.